UGGGGAAUAUUGCACAAUGGGAGCAAGCCUGAUGCAGCCAUGCCGCGUGUAUGAAGAAGGCCUUCGGGUUGUAAAGUACUUUCAGCGAGGAGGAAGGCGUUGUGGUUAAUAACCGCAGCGAUUGACGUUACUCGCAGAAGAAGCACCGGCUAACUCCGUGCCAGCAGCCGCGGUAAUACGGAGGGUGCAAGCGUUAAUCGGAAUUACUGGGCGUAAAGCGCACGCAGGCGGUCUGUCAAGUCGGAUGUGAAAUCCCCGGGCUCAACCUGGGAACUGCAUCCGAAACUGGCAGGCUAGAGUCUUGUAGAGGGGGGUAGAAUUCCAGGUGUAGCGGUGAAAUGCGUAGAGAUCUGGAGGAAUACCGGUGGCGAAGGCGGCCCCCUGGACAAAGACUGACGCUCAGGUGCGAAAGCGUGGGGAGCAAACA
RNAcentral lists this ribosomal RNA (427 nucleotides) under uncultured bacterium. RNAcentral's name for it is "partial 16S ribosomal RNA". It matches the Rfam family "Bacterial small subunit ribosomal RNA", at positions 355 to 774 of the family's 1533-position model. The record is from RNAcentral.